Molecule: long non-coding RNA, 6328 nt
Filed under: Theobroma cacao (cacao)
Lineage: Eukaryota; Viridiplantae; Streptophyta; Magnoliopsida; Malvales; Malvaceae
Description: long non-coding RNA (TCAC_LNC004171)
Source: RNAcentral
GUGGAUCCGUCCGGGUUGCAAUCUUGCGGGUAGCUUGUGUAAUCUUGUUUGCAGCCAUUGUAUGGAUUACUUUCAUCCAAGAAAGAAAACCCUGGUGGACAUGUGCAAUUAGGCCUCCCAUUGAUAGGUUCGCAUAUGCUGUUAUAACCGCAAGGGCCAUUUCCAAGUCUAGCUGUACUGUCUACAAAGCUAGAGCAGAUGUCCUUUGGCCUAAACCACCAGGCAGACCAGCUUUCACCGCCACUGGGGUUCCUUGGAUAAGAAUAGAAGGUAAACACUCCAUUAAAACUAAGUAUUGCCCUGUAGUAGUUUGACUCUGGGUCUGGAGGAGCAUUUUCUGGUGCAAGGUUGAGUAGACUUCCAUUCGAACUCUGGAUUUGGAUAUACCCUGACUGGUUGAAGAUCAACCGAGAACCAUUUCCAAGGUUGAAAUAAUUGUUGUAAGGUUUUCCAGUGAACAUAUCUAUUUGAUUAAGUAUGAAAAAUCCAUUAUUAAAACGAAGCUGAUAUUUCCCCUCCUGGUAACUUCGUUCUGCCAAAGCUGAUGAAAGACUGCCAUCAGCAUCCAAUUCUUGAGUCGGUAAGAUGGUAUCAGUCGGAUAUUUGAAGCUUUCCCAUAUGUUGCCUGAGUUUCUGCUUGCGAUCACAAAAUUCCCUGUAUCAAGCAUGGCUGCAUGUGACGCCUGAGAGUCAUUGUUAAGGGUUUUGGACCUCCACAGCACCCUGUCUUUAGGGUCUUUGAGCACAAGACCGGUGCUGGUGAGCUCAACCUUUGAUUCUCUCUCAGCUGGAUUCUCUCUAUUGGCAUACCAAACUAUAGUUCUGUCGGGUAUCUUGGCAUACCAGAUAGCAAGAAGGAACUGGUCUUCUUCACCCUGAAUGGGAUGAAAACCAAAGGCAAAAUCACCGGAUGGUGAUUGCCAUGCAAUGUUUUUAUCAUUCGCAGAUAAAAAAUCACCUAAGCUUACAUUGCCUUGAGCCUGAACCGUUGCAAAAAUCCAAUGGAUGCCUAAAAGGAUAACCAGGAAAGGAUGACAAUGAGAAAGUGGUGAGAUCAUUGAAUCUCUCCCAGUAGCAGUUCAAGUGUGACAAAAAUGAAAAUUUUGGCUUAACCUUGAGGUAACAGACUGAUUUAUACAGAAGUUUCUCUGGCACUUGCACUUUAAAAAGGCCUCAGCCUGUUGCCUGUUGGUCUUGGAGAAAGUGAAAAGUAGAAUAACCCACCUGCAAAAAGGCAGAAGAACAAAAAUGCAGGGCACAUGCUUUGACAUGUAUGCAUUAUUGUCGAUUUUGUUCAAUUUGUUUAGUGCUUUAUGUCAGAGUCUGGACCCACUUUAUUAAUAGAGAAGUAUAAAUAUCUCAAGCUUUUCUAUCACAAGAACUGUGACUAUUUGUCUAUAUGUUUGCCGCUCACCCACUCUGCUCUGAUCUGUCUCUUACCCAUAUGUCUAUUGACAAAAUGUUUAAAUGCCAUCAACAUUUCUGAAGAUGGGAAAUCUUGCAAACUUAAAUUACUUGUACAUCUUGUUAUUUUUUAUGAGUGAUUUGGUUAUUUGUCAUUAUCUUGUUACUUAAACAAAUAAACUUCGAUAUUUAAAAGAAGCCUGUCUAAGAGUUUUGAGAGUGAUUUGGUUAUUUGUCAUUAUCUUCUUUUCUCUAGUUGGAAGACUUUCUUUGUACGAAGGGCUAUCUAAAUUUUGGUUUGCAGCCAUGAACAAAGCCAUCAAUCUCUCCAUUUUUGGCCCAUCAAACAGCUUAGAAGAGUCACUGCUCUUACAUUCUUUAAUCCAAUGACAAGUAGAUUAAUGUCAACAACUCUUCUACUUCUCUCAAGGGUUAGAUGUCCACAGUCUAUAGUUAUCUAAACAUUAAGAAACAUGUUUUCUAAAAUUCAACUAAAACUUCAUCGGUUUCUUCCUCCUUCCUGACAAUGUUUCUGAAACAUGUUUUUGUUUUUAUUCUAAUAAGAUCUAUCUUUGAUCUUGUUGCACGUAGUUAUAUAUUCAUAAUUUUACUUAAAUUUAUUAAAUACAGUGCUUGUUUUGCUUAGUUUUUUUUCAAUUUAUUUACCUCUUCAAAGCAAAAGCCAGGCUAAACAUAAAUUUUGAAAAAUUUUUGAAAAAAAAACUAUAACAAUAAAAUUUUUAAAAAAAGAACUUCAAGAAAAGCUCCUCAUAGGAGCUUUUUCUUUUCUUCUUUUAAAAGUAUAAGAGAAUUUUUAUUUUUAUUCCGAAAAUAUCUUUAUCUGUUAAAAAUAAUUGCAAUAUCCUUUCAAAAAAAAGAAAUACUUUCUAUGAUAUUUUUAACUAAAAUUAUAACUUAUAUAAAAUAACUUAUAAAAAAAAUUUACCAAACAACUUUAUCUUAAUUUUAAAAAUUAAUAUUUUUUAUAAAAAUUUCAUAAUAAUUUUUAAAUUAAAAAAAAGUUAGGCCAAACAGGCUCAUAGUAAUGUAAAAUUAUGAACGAAAUAUGAAGUUUGACGGUGGGUUUGCUAGGAAAGGGCGUGGUAGAGUAUAUGAUUGUCAAGUGUGACAAAAUGAAAAUUUUGGCCUUACCUUGAGGUAAGAGACUGGUUUAUACCAAAGUUUCUCUGGCAGUAGCAACUUUAAAAGCUCAAUUAGGUGCAGUUGCUAGUUUUUGUUUUCACGCUAACUUGCUGCGUUAGUUAGUAUUAGAGCGAGGAAAACUUAUUCCAUCUAAUGACAAGUUACCCAGUUACGGUAGAUUGCGGUUCUCAAGAUGAAGAUCAGGGAAUUGAGACCUCACGAUCUGCAAUGCAAGAUCAAGGGGUGGCGUUGAAUGAUUAUGGUGAUAAAGAUACUUGCGAGAUAGAUAUUCCUUACUUUAAUGAGAGUUUAAAUAUUGAAUAUUUUUUUAAUUGGAUUACGAAAAUAGAUAGGUUUUUCGAUUAUAUGAAAAUUCCAGAAGAAACAAAGGUGAGACUUGUCACCUGUAAAUUAAAAGGUGAGGCUUUUACAUGGUGAGAAAGGUUGCAGUCCAAAAAGAGACAUAAGGGAAAAUCACCAGUUAGAACCUGGUACAUGAUGAAGCAGUUGUUACAGAAGGAUUUUCUUGGGACUGAUAUAGAAGGUCUAACAGAUAACCUCUUAGAGCAGGUUGAGCAUUAAAAGCCAAUAGUACAAAAGCCAAAACAAAAAGUUCAAAGAUUAGUAUUCUCCCUUUUUUAAUGAGGAGACUAACAUAAGAAUUAUAGAUGUAAUAAAAUUUCUUUUUUAUUUAAUCUACUCGUACUAAAAUUUUAAGAUAAUCAUAUUCUAAUUAAGAAUAAAAUAUUUAUUUUAUUUAAAUGUCUUGUCAAUUGUUCUAGUUUUACUAGUUUUAUUAAGAUUUAGUUUUUUGAAUCAUUGAAUAACAUUACAAAUUUUUUCUCUCAACUUAAAUUUAAAUUUCUGUAUUUUAAACUUAGUUGUCAAUUUUAAAAGCUCAGUAAAAUGUUAGCUUUUGUUAUCACGUUAACUUGCUACAUCAGAUUCAACCGAUUUACAUCUUAUGUCGAAGGGUCUGGACAUGUUUCAAACUUUUCUAUAAGAAGUAAUUGGACAGUAGGUUUACAUGUUCGUAAUUCUACUUUGAUCUGACGCUCAAAGCCAUCAACCUCUCUUAAGAUAGAAUCUUGCAAAUGCAAUUUACGUGACAUCUAGUAGUUGCCUUGUAAAAUUUCAAAUCAAGAAGAACAUUUUGUUGUUUUUAUGCAAGGUUUAAUAUUAAAAAAAAUGAAAAUCAACAAUAUCGACCUAUAUUCAACUAUUUUUUUAGAAAAAAAUUCAACUACUCUUUUUUAAAAAAAUCAUAAAUAUGAUAUUUACUAUUUCAAGUCAAGAAAAUCCAUACACCAACCUUACAAAAAAAAAAAAGAAAAUUCAUGCACCGACCUUACAAAAAAUAAAAAUAAAAAAUUCAUACACCUAAAUUUGUUAUGAUACUUGAUAACCAUUGUGAUAAUCAUGUUUGGCUUUAAAGAUUAAUCGAUUUCGCUUCUUUAAACAAUCUCUUGAGUUGAUAUAAAUAGUCUUAAGCCACUCAAUUUGGUUGUGAUUACUCAAGAACUCAUAUAUUGUUGUAUGUCCCAUGCCAAAAGAAUCACUAAUGAUUCCAUUCUUUUCGUUUCAUCUCACUAGUUGAUCCAUCCAGGUUGCAAUCUUCCGGGUAGCUUGUGUAAUCUUGUUUGCAGCCAUUGUCUGGAUUACUUUCAUCCAAGGAAGAAAAUCCUGGGGGACAUGAGCAAAUCUUAUCCAUUUUAUAUUAAAUGUUGUUUAAUUUUUAUCAUUAUUCUUAUUUUUUUUAUAAAUAUAAGAAUAUUAUUCUUUUUAAUAUUAACAUUAUAUCUAACUAAUUUAGUUAGAUUAAAUUCAUCAUUAUCAAAUAUUUAAAUAUUAUAUCAUAAUUUAACUAAUUUAAGUUCUUGAAUUAAAACAUUUAAUAGUCUUCAUUAUGACACUUAAUUCGGUUGGACAUGGUCAAGAGCCCAUAAUCUAUUGCUUGUUCCAUUAAGAAAAAUAACCAUUAAUUGUGGUUCCAUUUCCUUUUUCCUUGCAUGGGCCGCUUCUCAUUUUGCAUAAAUGAACUGUUGUUCUAGCCUCUAAGAUUGGGCCUAAAUUAUUGGAAAACUUGAAAACUGAAACUAUGUAAAUUUGUAAAAGUACAAGUUUUCACUAUAAUUAUAUGGGAUCAAACUUCAAAAUCUUGACAGUGGGUUUGCUAGGAAAGGGCACGGUGGAGUAGGAACCUGGACAGCACCUUCUAGCAUCAUGGAGACUGUCCUCAUGGAAGGUCUCAACAAUGGUUCAUCUUGUACACACCAAAUUGCCACUUUCAACAACAUCUCCACCUUCCCAAGAUCACUUCUGGCCUCUUCAUCAUUUUCCACCAGCUUUUCGGCUAUGCCUUCACUGUAGCAUUCAUAAGCCCAUUCUGUCAAUAUUGCAGCAUCCUCCAUCUCAAUUUCAACACAUCUUCUGCAAGUGACGAUCUCUAGCAACAUGACUCCAAAACUGUAAACAUCUACCUUCACUGUGAGCGGCGUGUUCUUGAACCACUCUGGUGCAACAUACCCUUUAGUCCCUCUGAUUCCGGUCAUCGUUCGGGUGUUGUUGAUCAAGAGUUUUGCUAACCCAAAAUCAGAUAUUUUGGCAGUGAAAGAAUCAUCCAGGAGUACGUUAUGAGGCUUGAUGUCGCAAUGGAUGAUCUGUAUGCUGCAUUCUUCAUGCAAGUAUGUGAGUCCUUUUGCAAUUCCUAAUGCGAUUUGCAAUCUUUGCUGCCACCUAGGCCUUAGAACUCCAAAAAGGAAGCUUGACAAGGAACCAUUUUGCAUGAACUCGUACACCAGAAGUCGAUGUUCACCUUCAUCACAGUAGCCAAUUAAUCUCACCAAAUUCUUGUGGUGAGUUUGGCCAAUCACCUUCACUUCUGUUUUGAAUUCCCUUUCACCCUCUUGAACAAACUUGUCUAAUUUCUUGACGGCAACAUAAUUUCCAAAACUUGACGGUAGUUCUCCUUUAUAAACCGUACCGAAAGCCCCCCUUCCUAAUUCUUCUUUAAAUCUGUUUGUGGCUUGUUCAAGGUCUUUGUAUGUGAAAAAACGUAGAUUAGUCUCUAAGUCUCUUCUGCUAGGAAUACCGUUGAAGUCCCGCAGUCUUCUUUUGUAUAAGCAGAAGAAGAUGAGAGAAAUUGCAGCUAAAGAAAAGAAGUUGAAAACUGCAGAGGUGCCUAACAGAACUCCAAGGAUCAAAAUAACUUGAUUCUGAUUUUCAUCACUUGGAUUUGGAGUGGCAGGGUUUUUCCUAGAGGCAUCUGACUUUAAUACCUUAAAUAGAGCUGUUCUAUCAACAGCAUCUGUGUUAAACCACCCAUUUGAAAGUGGUAAUUUCUUUUUCCAACAAGUUCCAUUGCCAUCUUCACUUAAAGUUGGAUCCUGUAAAAUGGCAACUGCACAGGAGCAGUCACGAAGGCAAGAUUGCUUACAUUCAAACUCAUUUGCAGGUUGCAGUAUUCCAUAGUCACUGAAAGGAAAAUCAGCAAACUGCAUUGACUUGAACGCAAAGCGAUCUUCCUCAAUGGUGGAUCCGUCCGGGUUGCAAUCUUCCGGGUAGCUUGUGUAAUCUUGUUUGCAGCCAUUGUAUGGAUUUUUUUCAUCCAAGAAAGAAAACCCUGGUGGACAUGUGCAAUUAGGCCUCCCAUUGAUAGGUUCGCAUAUGCUGUUAUAACCGCACGGGCCAUUUCCAAGUCUAGCUGUACUGUCUACAAACCUGGAGCAGAUGUCCCUUGGCCUAAACCACCAGGCAGACCAGCUUCCACCGCCACUGGGGU